Long non-coding RNA from Cephus cinctus (wheat stem sawfly), 934 nucleotides. RefSeq lists it as uncharacterized. The record is from RefSeq and is a predicted model, not a curated record. Lineage: Eukaryota; Metazoa; Arthropoda; Insecta; Hymenoptera; Cephidae. The transcript has 4 exons.
AAUGGCAAGAGCAAAAAGUCAGGAUCCGGGGACCUCAUCGAAGUUAGACACGAUAAAUCUAGAGGGGAAUUAAUUGCCGUUUGGUCCUGUCCGGUCCGGUCCCAUCCCAUUGCCAUGCCCAUGCCGUGGUCCCAGCCUCACAUUCUGUCCCUCCCGUACCUUUAGCCUCCUCUAACUGGUUGACAUCCUACAAAUAAAAUCAGCUCCAGGAAUGCCCGCGACGACACGGGCCUGUGGUACCUCUUCGAGCUCUCGUGAAGCAGGAGGGAAAUCGAUCUCCACGAAGGAGGGACGAGGAUCAGGACCCUGGGAGAGAUCUAUCCGCAAACCUCCACGUAACCAGAUGCCCAAACCCAUGGACUUGCAUGCACCACACCUGGACUGAGAAUGCGCUGUGCUUUAUUUAAUUGUCGCUCCCAUGCGGUCUUUUUGCGAUUUUUCAAUCCUACACAGAACGGUAACGCGAUUGACACUAUCGAUAUCCAUUGAAGAACGACUACGUGGCUAUUGAAAAUCCCAUAAAAUUUAUGUGGGUCGGAUUAGUAGGCGUACGUUUCGAUCACCACAGAUAGCGACCAUACCAUUUUCGCUUACUAAUAGAGAAUGUAAGAUCGAUCGUACGAUCAUACUUUCUCCGAACGCUCUCGACGUUUAGGAAGGUCGUACAGAUAAAUCGUCGGCUCGAAUACGAACGCGAAGAAAGGUGAAGGCGGAUUCUUCGUAACAUUGUCCUGCGCAUAAUUGGUCAAGAGAAGGAACGAACCGUGGAAACGAGAAGGGCGCUCCGCGACGCCGUGGAACAUGAGAAAAAGGUGCAAACUAACAAGAGAAUGUUGUUAGCUCGCUUAGUAUGUCACCGCGUACGCUACGUUAAACCAUUGGGAACUCUUAAAAUAGAUGUGUCCAGGACCGGUUAGCCAGUUCAAAAAUUUGC